This 1483-nucleotide ribosomal RNA is filed under the name Pseudonocardia sp. gi100. RNAcentral's name for it is "bacterial SSU rRNA". It matches the Rfam family "Bacterial small subunit ribosomal RNA". The record is from RNAcentral. Lineage: Bacteria; Bacillati; Actinomycetota; Actinomycetes; Pseudonocardiales; Pseudonocardiaceae.
AGAGUUUGAUCCUGGCUCAGGACGAACGCUGGCGGCGUGCUUAACACAUGCAAGUCGAGCGGUAAGGCCCUUUCGGGGGUACACGAGCGGCGAACGGGUGAGUAACACGUGGGUGACCUGCCCUCCACUCUGGGAUAAGCCCGGGAAACUGGGUCUAAUACCGGAUAGGACCACUGAUCGCAUGGUUGGUGGUGGAAAGUUUUUUCGGUGGGGGAUGGGCCCGCGGCCUAUCAGCUUGUUGGUGGGGUGAUGGCCUACCAAGGCGGUGACGGGUAGCCGGCCUGAGAGGGCGACCGGCCACACUGGGACUGAGACACGGCCCAGACUCCUACGGGAGGCAGCAGUGGGGAAUAUUGCGCAAUGGGCGGAAGCCUGACGCAGCGACGCCGCGUGGGGGAUGACGGCCUUCGGGUUGUAAACCUCUUUCGCCAGGGACGAAGAGCAAUUGACGGUACCUGGAGAAGAAGCACCGGCCAACUACGUGCCAGCAGCCGCGGUAACACGUAGGGUGCGAGCGUUGUCCGGAAUUAUUGGGCGUAAAGAGCUCGUAGGCGGUGUGUCGCGUCGGCCGUGAAAACUUGGGGCUUAACUCUGAGCGUGCGGUCGAUACGGGCAUCACUUGAGUUCGGCAGGGGAGACUGGAAUUCCUGGUGUAGCGGUGAAAUGCGCAGAUAUCAGGAGGAACACCGGUGGCGAAGGCGGGUCUCUGGGCCGAUACUGACGCUGAGGAGCGAAAGCGUGGGGAGCGAACAGGAUUAGAUACCCUGGUAGUCCACGCCCUAAACGAUGCGAACUGGAUGUUGGUCUCAACUCGGAGAUCAGUGUCGAAGCUAACGCGUUAAGUUCGCCGCCUGGGGAGUACGGUCGCAAGACUGAAACUCAAAGGAAUUGACGGGGGCCCGCACAAGCGGUGGAGUAUGUGGUUUAAUUCGAAGCAACGCGCAGAACCUUACCAGCCCUUGACAUCCCGAUCGCGGUUACCAGAGAUGGUUUCCUUCAGUUAGGCUGGAUCGGUGACAGGUGCUGCAUGGCUGUCGUCAGCUCGUGUCGUGAGAUGUUGGGUUAAGUCCCGCAACGAGCGCAACCCUUGUUCCAUGUUGCCAGCACGUAAUGGUGGGGACUCAUGGGAGACUGCCGGGGUCAACUCGGAGGAAGGUGGGGAUGACGUCAAGUCAUCAUGCCCCUUAUGUCCAGGGCUUCACACAUGCUACAAUGGCUCAUACAGAGGGCUGCGAGACCGUGAGGUGGAGCGAAUCCCUUAAAGUGAGUCUCAGUUCGGAUCGGGGUCUGCAACUCGACCCCGUGAAGUUGGAGUCGCUAGUAAUCGCAGAUCAGCAACGCUGCGGUGAAUACGUUCCCGGGCCUUGUACACACCGCCCGUCACGUCACGAAAGUUGGUAACACCCGAAGCCGGCGGCCCAACCCUUGUGGAGGGAGCUGUCGAAGGUGGGACUGGCGAUUGGGACGAAGUCGUAACAAGGUA